UUAAAGGUGUUUUUGAACACCACCAUUCUGUUAGAUUUUCUUUACUU
Molecule: non-coding RNA, 47 nt
Organism: Picea glauca (white spruce)
Lineage: Eukaryota; Viridiplantae; Streptophyta; Pinopsida; Pinales; Pinaceae
Source: Rfam